Molecule: unclassified non-coding RNA, 228 nt
Filed under: uncultured Myxococcales bacterium
Lineage: Bacteria; Pseudomonadati; Myxococcota; Myxococcia; Myxococcales
Description: contains 16S-23S intergenic spacer region
Source: RNAcentral
UCCGGUUUGGCACCGGCAGUCUUCCUAUACUUUCUAGCCCAGGUAAGGUUCUGCGCGUUGCGUCGAAUUGAACCACAUGCUCCACCGCUUGUGCGGGCCCCCGUCAAUUCCUUUGAGUUUUAGCCUUGCGGCCGUACUCCCCAGGCGGGGUGCUUAAUGCGUUAGCUGCGGCACCGCAGGGGUCAAAGCCCGCGACACCUAGCACCCAUCGUUUACGGCGUGGACUAC